UCCUUUUCUUCAUCCUCAAACAGCCGACUUUUUCUCCAAAAUAAGAACAGCCAUUUCCUUCUUUCAAGCUAAUUUAGUAGAGAGAUUUCAAGUGACAACUCCAAUAUCUUGAAAGAAAAAGGUGAAUUUCUUCAAUUCUCUGUUUUCCUACAAUUCUAGCUUGAAGAAAAUUUAUUCUUUCAAUUCUAGGGUUUUCGAAAAAUUUGGGGAUUUUAUUUUAGAGUUGAAGUAUGAUUCUAAUAUUGAUAUAUAUUAUGUUUUUGAUGAUUCCUAAGCAUGAUUGUGGUGGUUAAUUGCAGUAAUUGUUACUUGAUUUUUGAUUUUGCUCAAGUUAGUGUAAACCCUAUGUUUGAGUUUGAAGAGCUAUGAUAAGUUCUUGAAUAAUUGAGUUUGUAUAUGUGUUCUUGAGCUAUAAUUAUUUCAUAUAUGAGUAUAUUAUGAAUUUACACCACAUAGUUUGGAAAAUUGAUUUUGUUAGUUUAGUGAAAAUUAGGGCUUUGAGCUAAGAAGGUUCAUAUCCUAUUGUCUUAUGGUUAUAGGUAUAUUAUGAUGUGAUUUUAUUAAUUAUUGAGAUUAGAACAGCCCUACUACCCAAUUCUUUUAUAAAGCUCUAUUGUAUAAAGAGCAGGGAAGUGAUAAAGUUGCUAUUUUUAUGCAUAUGGAUGAGAUUAGUGGCUCUAAUAAUUGAGUUUAAAUUGAGAUCAUCGAGAUUUUAUUUCAAAGAGAUUGAGGAGAUUGAUAAAGUUAGUUUAUUAAACUAAAUAUGUAUCUAUUCAUUGAGAAUUGACAAACAUCUAUGAGCUUAUUCUUUGUUUUCUUAUUGAGUUAAGAGGAGUGAGUGGUGUUAUUGUAUUGAUGAUAUGUUGUGAGGAAAUGUUAGGAUAAUAAGUGAAUAGCAAAUAUGAGUUAUUGUUGUAAUAUUAUAUAUAUAUAUAUAUAUAUAUAUAUAUACUUACUUAUUUUCUUACAAAUUUUUAUCUAUUUAAAGGUUCCGGCUAGGAACGAGCCCAACACUAGAGUACGAAGUAAGAGAAACAUAUCAGGUGGGCUUACUAACUCAAGAAACAAAGAUGCAUACUUUAAUAUAUAAAGUUUAAGUGUAUGCAUUUAUUUUCAAAUUGUUGACUUGCCAAUGUUUAAGAUUUGUAUGAUACCAUCUACAUAGAAGAACGAAUUCGGGUCCUGAGCGAGUCAGGAUUUGUGUACACAGAGUGACGGUUAACCUUGAGUUAGCUUGUCGUUACGUUUGGGAAGGAGGCCUACUUCUCAACGUGUUUAUUGAGACUAGUAGAUAUGGUACAUACUUACAUGAGAACUUAGUCUGCGCAGACACUUUCAAAUACUAUGUAAAAACAGUUUAGCAAACACAGGUUGCUUCAGAAAAUCCCUUGUGUAUUGCUUAAAGUGGCAAGUUCAAUAUAUAGCAUUAUCAUGCAGAGUUUUAAAUGUUUUCGGCAUAUGUUCACUGAGUGCUUGUGGUACUCAGCCCUGCAUAUCUUUUUAAAUGUGCAGGUUAAGUUUGGAUGAAGAUGGAAGUGUGCUGAGCUGGAGUUUUUUUGUAUGUAAUAGUAAUAGGCUCAGGAUAUUGUGUCUUCAUACAUAAUGUCCAAUUAUGUACUCCGCUGCAACACUUUGUCUCUCUUAUCACUUUUGCCGUGUUGUAGAAUGUUUGAAAACCUUAACCUGUAUAUGAGCUUGACUAAAUCUUGGUUAUGAUGUUUAUUUGGUUUAAACUUCUUUUGUUAAAGGAUGUGGCUGGAUUAUUGAUUAUGAUGAAGGUUAAUUAUUUAAUUGUCUUAGUUUCCUUUCAAUUACUUUCCAUCUCUCGUUUCUCCACCCUAGUCGUAUGAUACAUGGUCUAGCUAUCUUCCUCCUAGGCCGGGCUACGACAAAGUGGUAUCAGAGCAGGCCCUUUGCUCUGAGCCUAAAUUAUUUUGAGUUUAGUCUAGAUUGUAUCUCUAGACUACUAGAAUAUUAAUGAUGAAUGCUCAGCGCGCACACCAUCUCAUCCAGCUUAAUCAGGUAUGAGUUUAAAUUAUUUUCUUCCUUUUAGGUAAAAAAAUUAUGAUGUGAUUUAAAGAGUUUGAGUUACUGAUAAAUGAAAUGAUGGAUGAUGCUAUUUAUGAGAUUCUUGGAGUGAUGUUUCAGUUUAGAAUGGAUAUGAAUUUUAUUACAUGAUUAUGAGAUUGUUUUGGAUUAUUGUUCAUUUCAAACUUGUUAUGAUAUUGUAAGUAAGAUAAUGUCUAAUUAUUCAAGUGUGUGUUAUUUGAGUGAACUAUUUUAUUAUUUGGGAGAUUUAUUAGGAGUUAGUUUUUAUGAGUAUUAUGUUAAGCUAAGUUGUAAAGGUUAUAUUGGGCAGGAUGGCUCGUACCCUACGUACCGCGAGGAAGAGAGUUAGUGCUAGAGCGACACGGGAUGAGAUUCGCUGGGAGUACCUUCACUAUGGCAUGUGCUGGAGAGACACAUUGGGGGAAUUUCUUGCCCACUUCCAUGAGCACUGGUUGGCAGCUAGCAUGUAUGGGAUCUCCUCGUAUGAUGGCAUUAUUCGACUGUUGACUCUACUUCCAUCCGACUGGAAGGGUUGGGUGACCUCCAUUGCCUCAGACUACUUAUACCAUUAUGGUGAGGAGUACGACCUGUAUGUAGAUUUUCCAGGUUUCG
RNAcentral lists this long non-coding RNA (2661 nucleotides) under Salvia miltiorrhiza (redroot sage). RNAcentral describes it as "long non-coding RNA (SMIL_LNC011533)". Lineage: Eukaryota; Viridiplantae; Streptophyta; Magnoliopsida; Lamiales; Lamiaceae. The record is from RNAcentral.